CGCGAAGAACCUUACCAAGGCUUGACAUGUCGGAAGUAGCAACCCGAAAGGGAAGCGACCUGUUAAGUCAGGAGCCGUCACAGGUGCUGCAUGGCUGUCGUCAGCUCGUGCCGUGAGGUGUUGGGUUAAGUCCCGCAACGAGCGCAACCCUUGUUGCCAGUUAUUUUCUCUGGCGAGACUGCCCCGCAAAACGGGGAGGAAGGUGGGGAUGACGUCAAGUCAGCAUGGCCCUUAUGCCUUGGGCUACACGCACGCUACGAUGGGUGGUACAAAGGGCAGCAAUGGAGCGAUCCGGAGCUAAUCCCACAGAGCCAUCCUCAGUUCGGAUUGCAGGCUGAAACCCGCCUGCAUGAAGUUGGAGUUGCUAGUAACCGCAGGUCAGCAUACUGCGGUGAAUGCGUUCUCGGGCCUUGUACACACCGCCCGUCACGUCAUGAAAGUUGGCAACACCUGAAGUCGAUGGGCUAACCCCGGUUUCCGGGGAGGCAGUCGCCGAGGGUGGGGUUGAUGAUUGGGACGAAGUCGUAACAAGGUAACCUUAAUUAAAA
This 548-nucleotide ribosomal RNA is filed under the name uncultured bacterium. Its description in RNAcentral is "bacterial SSU rRNA". It matches the Rfam family "Bacterial small subunit ribosomal RNA", at positions 960 to 1511 of the family's 1533-position model. The record is from RNAcentral.